GCCAGAGAAUGUCUAAUAUGAGGAGAACUGGCACUCGCGGGUUAGUUCCGGUUUUCUGGACUGGUUGCAGUAAUAAUCUUUGACCACGCGGGGCGCUCGUAGGCGAGUCCAGAAUGAAUGGGAGCCAACGGGAUUUUAUCCUCAGAAUCCACUUUUCUCACAAUGUAAUUUUUUGUCAAGUAAUUUUAAAGUUGCUAUCAAAGGGUGGGGCUAAGAUAAUAAACUGAAUAUUGCAUUUUUUAAGGUCACGUAUCUGUUCUAAAAAGGCGUUAAAAACAUGCGAUGACGUCACACACUGUAAUACUGUCAGAGGUACUGCUUUACGGCAGUUUCUAAAGCACUUCCCUUGUCCCGCAACGAUAACACCAGCUGUUGGAGUCGGACCUUGAUGCUGUGACAACGGACAAGUCUUCUUCCUCUGUCCUUUUCCCCUGCCUCUGUUCAGUAUGUUCAGUGUUGUUAAAUCAUCUUUUUUUUUAUUAGUUACUGUUCUUAUUGUGUUCUUGUUAGUGUGAUUUUUGAAUAAACUUGCCUGUUGCAAUGUUGGUAUAAUGUUUGUAUAAUUACUGUUAUACAACUGUUACUGUUUCAAUGUGACCCAGACCAUAUUUCUCAUUUAACAAACAUGUGUAGCUUAUAAUGUGUUGCAUGGCAGAGCAAUUACGGUAUAUUCAAUGGCUUAAAACAAACCCAUCUGUAAGGAUCAGUGAAUGCAUGGAAAUCAAUGACAAGUGGUGUAGAUGGUUUUCCCUCUGUGCAAGGUCAUUAGCCCAAGUCCUACAAAAAAAUAACGACUGUAAUAGCAGAUGUUGAAGUUGUUAAAUCAUUAACUAACCAUUUGUAUGGAACAAUCGGUUAAGGUAAGUUAAGUGCUUGAGUCUCGACACUUUAGAGAAUGUCUAGCGCGCAACUUGAAUAAGCCAUGUGUGAUAUUACCCGGGCUCCAGCGCAACUUUCCUUACCAGGUGAAGCCUCAGGUAGCCUAGGACCAUUCAUACAGGAGCAAGCAAGAACGUUACCUUUUUCUGUCCUUGGUAAACGAAAAGACGGACAAUCCGUUUCCACUGUAAGUGCAGUUUAUCAUUGCACAUUUACGAGGCAUUUCUUUUUUAAACUAUCUUUAUUUUCGAAAAAUAGACAAUGACAGAUUAAAUGAUAUUGAGCGGGA
This is a long non-coding RNA of Gadus macrocephalus (Pacific cod), 1168 nucleotides long. RefSeq lists it as uncharacterized. The record is from RefSeq and is a predicted model, not a curated record. Lineage: Eukaryota; Metazoa; Chordata; Actinopteri; Gadiformes; Gadidae. The transcript has 2 exons.